This 248-nucleotide ribosomal RNA is filed under the name uncultured bacterium. RNAcentral describes it as "partial 16S ribosomal RNA". It matches the Rfam family "Bacterial small subunit ribosomal RNA", at positions 335 to 599 of the family's 1533-position model. The record is from RNAcentral.
GUCCCUACGGGAGGUAGCAGUGGGGAAUAUUGCACAAUGGGGGAAACCCUGAUGCAGCAACGCCGCGUGAGUGAAGGAGGUUUUCGGAUUGUAAAGCUCUGUUAGCAGGGAAGAGGAAGGACGGUACCUGCAGAGGAAGCCACGGCUAACUACGUGCCAGCAGCCGCGGUAAUACGUAGGUGGCAAGCGUUGUUCGGAAUAACUGGGCGUAGAGGAUGCGUAGGCGGUUAAACCAGUUAUAUGUUAAA